GCAGGAUCAAAGGAGGUUGCUCAUCGACUGGUUCUGAAGUUACAGUUCUGCAAAAAUGUCCCUAGCAAAGCAUCAAGCGGUAUUGGCUGGAGAAAAAACAUCAGUUGACAGUGAAAAUGGUAACCCACAUGCUAUCAGUAUUGUACAUUAAUGCACUAAUUCUAUAGCUUUGUCUUGAAUAAAUUUAUGUACCUGGAGACGAAUCCAACCAAAUGUAUUAAACUAACAUUACUUUAGCCCUUUUCCAUUUCCGAGGCAUUAGUUCUAUCGAUCCUUAUAGAUGCCAAAUCAUCAUUUGUCCGAUCAAUCAGUGGAUAUAUCUUCCUGACUACAUCAUCUACUGCACUGCUGCUCAUUUGUUUUUUGUCUACUUUUUAACCAUAUCAACAUAACGACUUUUCUCGUUCAUGGCCAUUUUUUGUGGUUAGUUUUUGUUGAUUUAGAUCACUUGAUUAAUUGAUGCCAUACCUCCAUUCGGUGUGCCCUAUGUCUAGGCAGGCAAACAUGUUUCGGUGCUUUGAGAUUUAAAAAAUUGUCAUAUGAGUUGAGGCUCUGUAAUCCAGAUUCCAGUGUGUAAAUGGAAUUCAAACAGAUUUGGAUAGCAAAUUAGUGGAUGCUUGCGUAAGAGAAUAUCUGUGGAAAAACACUAUAGGUGUAUCUUAGCGUAAUUUGAUCCAAACCACUUGCAAUCAGUGCGAGAUGAAUUGAACUGUGCGAUUCUACUUUAGAAUUGCAACAUUAUGCCAUAUAUGGACAUAAAAAAAACUUAUAGAUUCUUUAUAUUUCUGUAUAACACUUCCACCGACAGAUAAUACAACUUAGGAGGGGAAAACACAUCGAGAUCUAACAUUGCCUUCUCACAAAAAUGCAAAAUAGAAAAAGAAGAAGAAAGAAAUGUAUCUCAUUUGCCCAGUAUAUGAUGAUGUUGUUUACCAUACUUGGGAACGCUAAGGUUGCUUCCAAAUAUGUACUACAUGAUAGUCCCAGAAUGCGAGCUCAACAAAACUCAGAGCUCAUCAGCUCGGCAUCAUCAAAUCUAAUGCAUAUCCUACGACCGAUCGAUGAUGACAGCCCGACCGGUGCCAAGCAGCCGGUAGGAGUUCCCCCUGGCAAGGCCGCACCUCCUUCGUCCCGCCAUCUGCUUCUCCUCCUCGAUCUGCUCCAACACCCCGGCAAACAUCUCGGAGUUGCAGGGUAGCUCGAGGGGCCCUGCGGCCGCAUACCCAAACACCUCCUCGGCCUCCUCGAGCAGCGCCCGGAACAGCGGGUGGUUCACACACACUGUCCGCACCACGAACCGCUGCCUCCCAGCACCGACGUAGACAGAGAAACAGCCCUCUGCGGGCUUGUUCCUCAUUGGUGUGCUCCAGCACCUGUCCAGCGUCUUGGUAAUCAGCCCGGCCUUCCUCGUCGCCGAGCUCUUCUCAGCCAUGCCCAUGGUGCACACAAGUUAGCAGGCUAACUAGUUGCAAUUUGCAGAAAGAAGAAAAAGUGUAGCAAGCUUGGAAUUGGGAGGUGGCGAGGAAAGGGGUGGAAUGGUAUAUAUAGACGGAUCCACCAAGACAUGGUCUCUCGAUGGAAAGGCCGUAUUUGAGAUAUGAAGAUGAUGAGAGUGACCCAAAAGCUAUUUUAAAAGGCGAAUACGCAAAAGACUUGCUUAUCAUUUCAUUAAAGAAGAGUGGGAAAGUGAUGGAAAAUAGUCAGACAAUUAUUGCACAUAUAGAAUCAAGCUUUGCACCUUAUUCAUUGAUCUUUAAUUAGAAGGAUGUGACUUGUUGUUUUAGCAGCAUUUGUACAAUAAUAAGUUUCAUCUUAUAGAAGUGUAGACUUUUCCUCUCCAAAACUGCCUGACGGAAGUUCGAUCCACUUUUACAUACCAUUAUGUUUAAGAUAUAUUGAUUUUGCUUCUAAGCUUUAUUUACCAGGGGUUUCACCAAGCUCUUGACUCCAGCUUUUCAGAUAAGCUUGAGGUAGUGAAAACAAUAUGGAUCCAACUUUUGACUCUAGAGGGAUCAAGUUAAGAUGGACAUUUAACCCAUUUUCUAGAGCUGAUGCACUCUUGUUGGUGCUUCAAGUCCUCAAAAGUUAGCACUGGAUUAAUUAGUCAAUGGUUAAGGCAAUAUUAUGUGAAGAUCUCUGCAUCUGCCUAAUGGUUCCAUUUGUUCGUGGGGCCACAAAAUGUUAGUUUAUAAAAGCGAGGUUAGAGUUUACGUCUCGGGAACCCCUGGAGUACCAGUAUUAGUUGGAGCCAAAACUAAUGGCUCUAGCUUCUCCAUGCUAUAGAAUAAAGAGACAGAAAUUCAAGAAAGGCCAUGGUCACGGCUGUAAAGGCUGUUUAUCGAGACACGUCAUGGAUGAUUUAUCGCCUUGUCUUUGGAUAUUCAGAGAAUAUCCCUAUGUUUAGUUAUGGUAGUAUUGUUGCUGUACGAUACUUGUGUUCAACUGAUUGGUUGCAAACUCAAAAAAUAAGAAAAGGCUGGAUCAAGCAGUUAAUUUUUAUUUUAAUACUUGGUAAUUUGCAGUGUCUGUUUUCCCCCUUACUGAUACUUGAUCCCAUGCUUUGGUGUUCUUCAGUCCUCUGAAAGGGUCAAAGAAUACCUGGAACCGUUAAGCUUGCCCUGGUUGCUGCACAUCCAACUGGGUCAGUUGCUAUAUAUCUUCCCGAUUACAUCAUCUACUAAACUACUCCUCAUUGAUUUUUUGCCUCCCUUUUAGCCAUACCUAUAUAACUGAGUUUUCCUGUUUAUGGUCCUUGUCUGUGGUUAGUUUUUGUAGAUAUUAGAUUAAUUGCUGCCAAAACUCCAUUGGAGUGCCAAGUGUCUAGCCGGCAAACAUGUUUCUAUUGGUGCUUUGAGAUUAAAUAUUUUUGGCAUUUGUGUUGAGGCUCUGUAAUCCUGUGUGUAAAUGGACUUAAAACAAAUUCGGUAGCAAAUCAGUGGAUACUUGCAUGCAGAUGAUCUGCGGAGAAACACCAUAGUUCAUUAAUAUUAGCGUAGUUCCAUUAAACCACUUGCAAUCAGUGUGGGAUGAAUUGAAUUGCGCGAUUCCACUUUGGAGUUGCGACAUUGGGCCAUAUAUGGACGUCACAAGAGUUACAGGUUCGAAUGUGCAUCUGUAUAACACUUUCACCGACUGUUACUACAACUUAGGGUGGGAACACACAUCAACAUCCAGCAUUACCUUACAAAAAUAGAAAAAAGAAGAAGAAGAAAAAUAUCUAACAUUGCCCAGUAUAUGAUGGUGUUGUUUAUCAUAAUGGGAAUGCUCAACAGAAACUUUAGAGCUCAUCAACUCGCCAUCAUCCAAUUUGUAUGCUACGACUGUCCGAUGAUGACAGACCGGCUGGUGCCGAGCAGCCGGUAGGAGUUCCCCUUGGCAAGGACGAACCUCCUUCCUGCCACCAUCUGCUUCUCCUCCUUGAUCUGCUGCAGCACCCUGGCAAACGCCUCGGCGUUGCAGGGAAGCUCGAGGGGCCCUGCAUCCGCGUACCCAAACACCUCCUCGGCCUCCUCCAACAGCGCUCGGAACAGCGGGUGGUUCACGCACUCUGUCCGCACCACGAACCGCUGCUUCCCGGCGCCAACAUACACCGAGAAGCAGCCCUCCACUGGCUUGCUGUUUCUCGCCGGUGUGGUCCAGCACCGGUCCAGCGCCUUGGUGAUUAGCCCGGCCUUCCUUGCAGCCGACCUCUUGUCAGCCAUGCCCAUUGCGCACAAAACCUCGUAGGCUAUAUCUAGUUGCAAAUUUGCAAAGAAUGUGUAGCAAGCUUGGAAUUUGGGAGGUGGGAAGGAAAGGGGUGGAACGGUAUAUAUAGGCCGAUCGACAAAGACGGGUUCUGUCAAUCGAAAAGCCGUAUUUGAAAUACGAAGCCGGCGAGAGUGACCUGAAGCCUUUCUUUUUUCACGAAUACGCAAGAGACUCUGCACAUCCUUCCAUUAAAAAAGAGAGGGAAAUGAAUGGAAAUUAGUCAGACAAUUAUUGUGCAUAUAGAAUCUCCCAAUCUCUGCGCCUUACUGGUUGGAUGUUAGGUAGGAUGCACUUUGUUGUUUUAAUAAUAGUAGCAUUUGAGUACUAUAAUAGUACGUUUUGAUGAUAUGUGCGUACAGGCCUAAUGCUUAAUGAUAUGUCAAUUAGGGUGCGAUUUGGCAGCCUCGGAAGGUUACCCUAAGGAAGAGUUAGCUGCGACUGUGGAGGGAAGCUGGCGUGUGUGACAUCAUGCCAUCAUGUCCGACUUGGAGCUGGAGGAGGGGCCAAUGUCGUGGCGUCAUGGCAAUAAUGCAUUAGAUUUAGCUACAGGUUAGUUAAUCCUCUCUGACCUGGCCUUGCUGCAUGAUUGGUAUUAGUUUUGAGGUGUCAAACUCCUCAGCCACAAGGAUUGUUUAGCUUAGCAUUAGCAACAGUGCAUGGAACGCUCCAAACCGACGGCGCCCGUGAAGGCUUUGUUUGAUGGGUUCAGAAAGAAUUGAGACUUUAUGUCAUCACUCUG
RNAcentral lists this long non-coding RNA (4486 nucleotides) under Triticum aestivum (bread wheat). RNAcentral describes it as "long non-coding RNA (TAES_LNC005880)". The record is from RNAcentral. Lineage: Eukaryota; Viridiplantae; Streptophyta; Magnoliopsida; Poales; Poaceae.